This 1293-nucleotide long non-coding RNA is filed under the name Androctonus crassicauda. The record is from RNAcentral. Lineage: Eukaryota; Metazoa; Arthropoda; Arachnida; Scorpiones; Buthidae.
AUAAUUACUACGUCAAGUCCAGUCGUAAGUAAAAAAAAAAAAUGUAUAUAAUUGUUUGUAAAACUAAGCAUGAGAUGAUGCUAGGCAUGUAUUUUAAUUUAAAAUAAUUGACGUGAAAUUUAAUAGCUUGUGAAAGUAGUGAUUGUGGUGGUACUAAUAAGAGUUUGUAAUUAACCUUAUUUGCAUCUUUGCGCUUACCUGACAACUAAUUUAACGUGUACUCAAAAGUUAGAGAAACAUAACUCUGUGAUUACUUAAGAGAGAUGAAAGAAGUUCUGUUGUAGCUUUCUGAAAGCGGGAAGAGGAUCAAGCCAUAAAAAGUCGGCUAACUAGUGCUAGAGUGACCGCUGACAGGUAACUUUAAAUGGUUCCUCAGAUAGAUUUUAUGUUCGUUUGAGAGGAACUGUGUUUACACAGCGACAAUUGAUAUGGAACAGCCCCUUUACAGUAUGACCUACCUAUCUGUCUGGAAUAAAAUCUAAGGAUUUUGAAGAUUGCAACGCCGUGGAAUCAUAAAUUAUGAUACAAAUCUCAAAAAAAUGCAGAAGAGCUUCAAUCCUACUUUCGAAGAUGCCAAAUGAGAAAGGAAAUUGUUAUUAAUGCUCGCGAUUCACCUUGAAAUAUCUUUUAAUUUAAUUCGUUCUGGACUUUUCUAUAUUCUAUUAAGUGGUCGUAACUGAUAUAUUGCAGUUGGUGUACCAGAUGUCAAUUUUAUGAGAAUCGGUUCUUUAAAUGCCAAAGUACAGAAGACCAUUGUGGCAACAGGAAAAUCCAGCAGAUUAACUCGAUUGAAGAGUUGGGGAUCUGCUGAUAAUCUCUCAGAUUUGUUGGCUUCCAAGAUGAUGCCGCCUCCGAAAUCCGCACCUCCGAAGAAGAAGAAACUGAAGAAACCAAUGACGAAUGAUCGCGAAAGCAAUUCCUUCGGAAAGGGGAGGACUGUAGAAGCCGAAGACGCUUAGUCAAUAUAAUAUGCCAUCGAAAUGCUUUUUAAUCCGACGUGGUUUCGUGAAUCUUCACAGCAUCAAGUACUUCCUUACAGAAAAAGUUCACGCGAAAGAGCCAAACUUCUCGCUAAACUGUUUUAUACAAAUCUCUACGACAUUUUUUACAUUAGCAUCAGGAACUUUGUUAUUGUUUUUUACUGUUAAAUCGUGCUCUUUAUAAUAUUUUUUUUUAAGACAAAGAGUAUCUGUUAGAAUCUCGAAAUCGUUACUUAUUUUUAAAAUGCAUUUAUAUAUAAAUACUGUAUAUAUAUAUAUAUUUUUAUACUCGCAUUUUUCGGCGGCGUGAACA